UUUCCUCACAGAGAUUAGCUAAUUACUGAUUAGAAAAGAGAAAUGAAGAUCAAUCUACUCUUUGGUCUAAGGGGAAUGAGGAAGAGACAAAUAGGAAAAAACUUCUAUCUUGUUGUGAUUCUGCUCUUUUUCAUUUGUUGUUUUUUCCUUUCAUUCAGUUGAUUUGUUAUUCUUUUCGUUUUUUAAUUUUAUUCAUUUUUUUUUCUUAAUCAACUAAUACAUUUUUUAUUAAUUUACUUGAUAGUUUCUUCAAUUCGACAAGUGUUUAAAUCGAUUGUGUAAAUAUCAUUAAUCUUUUCCUGGUGAUAUUUAGUAAAGAUUAGGUGACAACUGAAUCGAUUGGAUUUAUUAUCAUGGACAAAUUCAGUUUAGUUAUAUUUGGUUCCUCUGGUUAUACUGGAAUCUAUGUGGUCGAAGAGAUAUUUCGUUAUUUGGCUAAACAUGGACCUAAAUUUACUUGGGCAGUCGCUGGUCGAAAUGAAGUUAAACUUCGUGAGUGUUUGGCCACAUCGCUUGAUUAUGCUGGUAUCAGGGAUUAUGAUAUAUCCUCUGUCGAGAUAAUCAAUGCCGAUACAAAUGAUUACGAUUCUCUUGUCAGGAUGGCUAAAAAGGCUAAAAUUUUAAUCAGCUGUGUUGGACCUUAUCGGAGCUUCGGAGAGCCGGUAGUGAAA
Molecule: long non-coding RNA, 671 nt
Organism: Panonychus citri (citrus red mite)
Lineage: Eukaryota; Metazoa; Arthropoda; Arachnida; Trombidiformes; Tetranychidae
Exons: 3
Source: RefSeq, a predicted model, not a curated record